GACGAACGCUGGCGGCGUGCUUAACACAUGCAAGUCGAACGGAAAGGCCCUGCUUGCAGGGUACUCGAGUGGCGAACGGGUGAGUAACACGUGGGUGAUCUGCCCUGCACUUCGGGAUAAGCCUGGGAAACUGGGUCUAAUACCGGAUAGGAGCCAUUUUUAGUGUGAUGGUUGGAAAGUUUUUUCGGUGUAGGAUGAGCUCGCGGCCUAUCAGCUUGUUGGUGGGGUAAUGGCCUACCAAGGCGGCGACGGGUAGCCGGCCUGAGAGGGUGGACGGCCACAGUGGGAAGGAAGUACGGCCCGGCCCCCGCGGGGGGGAGGAGGGGGGGAUGUUGGACAAUGGGGGGAAGGCUUGAUGAGGCGCGCCCGGGGGGGGGGUGAGGGCUUUGGGGUUUUAACACCUUUUGCCUGGGGACGAUGCUUUUUGGGAGGGUACCUAAAUAAGAAGCCCCGGCAAACUAGGUC
RNAcentral lists this ribosomal RNA (465 nucleotides) under uncultured bacterium. Its description in RNAcentral is "partial 16S ribosomal RNA". It matches the Rfam family "Bacterial small subunit ribosomal RNA", at positions 28 to 507 of the family's 1533-position model. The record is from RNAcentral.